CAGACCAGAUGUGGUUUGCAGAACUUUCUGGAGCUUUAAACAGUCGGAGGCUAUCUGUCCCUUCCGGGGGCACCCUGCUCAGUCAGGAUACAGACUUCAGACAGGGAGCCUUCCUCACCACAGCCUGAUGGCUCAUCUUCCAAAGGGCUUCCGUGCUUUCAUCCUUUGCCAACAAACGCAACUGAAAUCAGGAGAUCUGGAUGCAUCCUGGACAAGGGAGACACAACACAAAUCCCUCUAACAGGUUGUGGACAUUGUGAGCUAGACAUGGAGACAGGCCCAGAGCACAGAGACAGCUGGGAUGAAGAAUGCCUACCACAACCCAGGGGAGGCCUGGAUUUCAGGAGCAGGUAACCCCAGGGCCGAACCUUGAGAGACCAUUGGUGUGCCAGAGAUUUCUGGUAAUGAUCACUUUUCAGUGGAGGAGAACAAGAAAUAAACAAUCACUCUGGCUCCUCUCUCCAGAACUUAUGGAGAAAAGCCCUGACCACUUGGCCUUCUCAUAUCUCCUUGACAAAGUUACUGAUUUUCACCUUUGUUCUUCAGUGAUCAUUGUUCUCCAGGAGAAAAAGCUGUUUGUUUAAUGAGACUCCUAUGUCCUGCUGGAACAGUGAAUAUUGAGAAGGGGGCCUUAGGAAGCUCUGGUGAAAACCCAGGGCUCCUAAUUAAGCCAGGUCUUCUGCUCACCCAAAGACCCAGCCUGGACUUCAGAACAAAUCACCUGAAGCCUGCAUAUUUCAAUAAUUUAAUAGGACAGAUUUCCCAGGGGUGUUUUGAGGGCAGCAGCUCAUUUUCAAGUAAGAAUUUUCCCAGAAGUAACAAGCAUAUCUUUA
This 833-nucleotide small RNA is filed under the name Pongo abelii (Sumatran orangutan). Its description in RNAcentral is "sense intronic". The record is from RNAcentral. Lineage: Eukaryota; Metazoa; Chordata; Mammalia; Primates; Hominidae.